CAUCGAAAGAGACCAACGAGGAGUCGAGAGAGACAGAGACAGAGACAACAAUGGCACCUUCGUCGUCGAGCGGUUUGACCUUCAAGCUCCACCCUCUAGUAAUCGUCAACAUAUCGGAUCACUACACCAGGGUUAAGACUCAGCUCAACCCUCCGCCUUCAGUCUGCGCCACCGAGAACAACGGCGAAGCAAUGCUGCAGCCGAACCCUAGGGUUUACGGAUGCGUGAUCGGCGUCCAGAGAGGCCGAACUGUCGAGAUCUUCAACAGCUUCGAGCUUUUGUUCGAUCCUUCCUCUGAAACCCUCGAUAGGUCCUUCCUCGAGAAGAAGCAAGAGCUCUGUAAGCUCUCUCUCUCUCCCUCUCUCUCUUCUUCUUUUGUCUGGGUUUUGAUUGAUUCUUCUUGUUUUUUUUAAUCAGACAAGAAAGUGUUCCCUGACUUCUAUGUUUUGGGAUGGUACUCUACGGGGAAUGACGCUGAGGAGUCUGAUAUGCUUAUCCAUAAAGCCGUGAGUUUUCAAAGUGUUUUUUUUUUUUUUGUAGGAUUAAGAUUUGAUCAGUUAUUUAUUUAUUUAUUUUUUAUUGUUAAAGUUCAACUUUUUCAUAAGAGGUGUUAUACGGUGAGAAGAUUAUUAGAACUAGUGUUUUUUGUUUGGAAUUCGAAUAUGGUGGGUUGCUUCUGGUCAAAGAGAUCACCACCCGUAUAUAAUUCAAAUAGGUACAGUGACUUAUAUCUCUACGUUUUAUGUAAUUUGAAUAAGAGUUUUUAUUACUCUUCUUACAUACUAACUGACACACUUUUCUCCCUUGAAAAUUUUUCUAGUGUUGUUAUCAAUGCUGAAUUGAAGAUCGGGAUGCAUUGUAAGAACUGCGCAAAACGUGUCAGAGAAGUAGUUUUCUACUUGAAUGGCAAGAAAUAAGAUUUUUUGUUCACAAUAUACAUUUACUCAGUUGAUGGUAAUUAUAUAGUGUUGACGUUAUAAUAAUCGCUUUAUUGAUAUGUUAUAAUAUAUUAGGAGUUCGACAAUGUGAUGUGCAUCUAGAUACUCAAAAGGUUAUGGUCGCUGGUGAUUUUAAUUUAGAUGAGGUGGUGGAAACUGUUAAGAGAAAACUUGGUAAAAGAGCAGAAGUUUUGACAUCGACUAAGAAAUCUGAUGUAGUUUCAAAUGAAGAUGGUGAAUUUGAAAUAGUUCCAGAAAAAAAUGAAGAAGCUGAAAUAGUUCUGGAGAAGAAUGAAGAACCUAAAUUAAUUCCAGAGAAAAAUGAAGGACCUGAAAUAGUUCUAGAGAAGAAUGAAGAAUCUAAUAUAGGCCUUCAAAAGGAAGCAAAUCCCAAUGGAUGCACUAUCCAGUAAAUCUAGUCGAAACAUGUAAUCACCAUAAAGAACUUGGCAUGGUGAUAUGGACCUUGUCGAUCUUGAGAAGGUUUAAGUGUUUGAUUCACCGUGUUAUAUAUAAUAAGACAAAUGGAACAUGAUUUCUUUUUUAUUACUUCUUUAGUAUUUUUUAUUAAUGAUGCAAUUAGAAGAUUUCAUUGUCAGUAUAGUGUGAUUUAGUUUGAGUGGACAGAAAAGUCAUCAUCAUUAAAAAGCAUUCUAAAAAAAGUGUGGAAAGAAUCUCAUAUAAGAAAUUAUGACAUAUAGUAGAUAAUGUAAGAAUGGUUAGCAAUCAUUAAAGAUGGGUUAUUUUAUUUCGAUGAGUUAUUAUUAAAAUUGAAGCACAAAUAUAGAUUUGUCUAUAUCAAAUAUGAAUUUAGAGGUAAGAGCUAAUUUGUGACUACCAAAACUAUCAAGGGGGUUACACCAAAUGUGAGAUCAGUUGCUCCUAGUAUUUAUGUCAUUGUAUUAGAUAUUUUGAUUUCUCAAUUAAAUAGAUCUAUGAGUAUAACUGAAGAGGGAGAUGGACGAUACAUAGAUAAGAAGAGGUGAAGAGACAAUUGCAUUUCAAAAACUUAUUGCAACUCACAAAACCAAACCUACAAGAGGACAAUGCAUGUGGUACAAAGAAGUGAAACAAUCACGCACACCGGUAGAGACUAUGGUAAUGCAUCAAAAACCGACCAAAAAAUUGUCAACAAUAUAAUAUGUGUCCCAUAAGUCUUGAAGAAAAGAUCAAUUUUAAUCCAUAACAUAACUCAGCUUCCCGAUGAAGCAAUGAUAUUACAAAGAAGGAGAACGUAAAAACACGAUAGUUAGAGAAGUCAUACUGUUGACCUUCCAAUCCGGUUAAACACAAAGAAAAAUCAUGUAAAUAACAUUGAAACUUACGUCAACACAGAAGCACCAUCACCAUCAAUGUAACUAUCAGAUUUGAGCUAAUAGCCUUGAAAUCAAACAUAUCGAAAAAUGAAAAGGUAAAAUUUGAAAGGAUUGGCUUUGAAAGCUGUCAGUCACUGGUCCUUCAAUCAGAGAUGAAAGAAAAAAGAACUUACCGGCUAGUGUUUAUGGAGAGAAAUCCAAUGAAAUAAAAAGAAAAAAAAAAAUCAUGGAAAGUAUAGAGACCUAUUAACUUCGACCACGUGGGUAAGCUCGGCCCGUACAGUAAACCCGAUAACCAUUUCUUUAGCCGGUUCGAUAUCUCCUGAACCUGAUCUAGGAUCCGAAUUUAGACCGGGUCUAAAACCAAUAAUAAUUUCAUCGAAAGAGACCAACGAGGAGUCGAGAGAGACAGAGACAGAGACAACAAUGGCACCUUCGUCGUCGAGCGGUUUGACCUUCAAGCUCCACCCUCUAGUAAUCGUCAACAUAUCGGAUCACUACACCAGGGUUAAGACUCAGCUCAACCCUCCGCCUUCAGUCUGCGCCACCGAGAACAACGGCGAAGCAAUGCUGCAGCCG
This 2833-nucleotide long non-coding RNA is filed under the name Brassica napus (rape). Its description in RNAcentral is "long non-coding RNA (BNAP_LNC004678)". The record is from RNAcentral. Lineage: Eukaryota; Viridiplantae; Streptophyta; Magnoliopsida; Brassicales; Brassicaceae.